Molecule: ribosomal RNA, 425 nt
Filed under: uncultured bacterium
Lineage: Bacteria
Description: partial 16S ribosomal RNA
Rfam family: Bacterial small subunit ribosomal RNA
Source: RNAcentral
GUUAGGAAUAUUGGACAAUGGGCGCAAGCCUGAUCCAGCCAUGCCGCGUGAGUGAUGAAGGCCUUCGGGUUGUAAAGCUCUUUAGCCGAUGAUUAUAAUGACUGUAGUCGGAAAAUAAGCCCCGGCUAACUUCGUGCCAGCAGCCGCGGUAAUACGAAGGGGGCGAGCGUUAUUCGGAAUCACUGGGCGUAAAGCGUGCGUAGGCGGCUUUGCAAGUUGGGAGUGAAAGCCCAGGGCUCAACCCUGGAAUUGCUCUCAAAACUGCAAGGCUCGAAUUCGGGAGAGGAUAGCGGAAUUGUCAGUGUAGCAGUGAAAUGCGUAGAUAUUGACAGGAACACCAGUGGCGUAAGCGGCUAUCUGGACCGAUAUUGACGCUGAGGCACGAAAGCGUGGGGAUCAAACAGGAUUAGAUACUCCAGUAGUCC